GAUGAACGCUAGCGAUAGGCCUAACACAUGCAAGUCGAGGGGCAUCACAUGAAGUAGCAAUACGGAUGGUGGCGACCGGCGCACGGGUGAGUAACACGUAUGCAACCUGCCUUCAACAAGGGGAUAACCCGUUGAAAGACGGACUAAUACCCUAUAACACAGGGGUCCCGCAUGGGAAUAUUUGUUAAAGGACAACCGGUUGAAGAUGGGCAUGCGUUCCAUUAGCUAGUUGGCGGGGUAACGGCCCACCAAGGCAACGAUGGAUAGGGGAACUGAGAGGAAGGUCCCCCACACUGGUACUGAGACACGGACCAGACUCCUACGGGAGGCAGCAGUGAGGAAUAUUGGUCAAUGGACGCAAGUCUGAACCAGCCACGUCGCGUGAAGGAAGACGGCCCUACGGGUUGUAAACUUCUUUUAUACGGGAAUAAAGUGCCCCACGCGUGGGGUUUU
This 453-nucleotide ribosomal RNA is filed under the name uncultured bacterium. RNAcentral's name for it is "bacterial SSU rRNA". It matches the Rfam family "Bacterial small subunit ribosomal RNA", at positions 28 to 470 of the family's 1533-position model. The record is from RNAcentral.